UUCCGGUAUGGCGUUGCCGGGGUUGAUUCCGGAGGCUAGCAACUGUUGCCUUGAGGACGAGCGCCAUAGCCACCGUAGUCCUGGCGACUGUUACCCCGUCAAACAACAACUUACGCCACAAAGUGGACAAGGUGGAGAGUUCCAUUUAACACCACCACCUGCAGAGGUUGGUAUGGCAACACAGGCCUACGUUACAGAACUCCCACCAGUUCAACAACAGCAGCAGCAACAACAGCCACAGCAGCAACAACAACCAAACCAGCAACAGUAUGUUACAGACUUGCAGACCGUUGCUGGUGCACAACCAUCACAGCAGCAACAACAGCAGCAGCAGCCGCAACCAACACCAUCCCAAAAACAGUAUGUCAGUGAGCUACAGGUAUCACAACAACCGCAGCAGCCUUCUGCUCAGAUCUCACCAGUAACAACACCACAGCAGUACAUUGUGGUUACAGUGUCAGAAGCAAAUAUGCGGCCAACGGAGACAGGCUCAGAUUCCAGCCCUUCCUCAGCUGGAGCACAAUCUGGAGUGCCAACUCAAGUGGUACAGCAAGUUCAGGCAUCGCAACAGAGGCUUCUAGUACAGAAUGAUGUGCAAUCGAAAGUGGACCAGUUCCCGCAGCUCCAGCUGCCGGGAGUCCAGCAGGUAGCAGUAAUGCAUCAGAGAUCUGUUGUACAAACAACACCACAGGCUGCAAAAACCAGCCAGGUUCAACAGUUAUCAGUACAAGCGUUACAGCAAGUUCAUGUUUCUCAGGAGGUUCAGCAGUUACAACAGGUCCCAGUGCAGCCUGUUCAACAUGUCUACUCGAACCAGGUGCAGUAUGUGGAAGGGGGUGAUGCCAGCUAUACAGGAAGCACAAUACGUUCAAACAACUACCCUUAUUCUGAAACUCAGCUGUACAACCAGAACACAGGCGGGAGUUACUAUGAAUCUCAGGGGACGCCAAACCAGGUUGCCACGCCGGUGACUUCGCAGAACGUGGUCAGUAGUGGAACGGUGCCAAUGUAUGUGACGGGAGGGCAGAUUGUGGCCAACCCAGGAGGAGGGACCUAUGUCAUCCAGGGAGGUUACAUGCUGGGGAGCUCCAGUCAGUCUUACAGUCACACCAUGCGUGCCUCUCCAGCCACAGUUCAGUGGUUAUUGGAUAAUUAUGAAACUGCAGAAGGAGUUAGCUUGCCCCGAAGCACUUUGUACUGUCAUUACCUGCUACACUGUCAGGAGCAAAAACUAGAGCCAGUAAAUGCUGCCUCAUUUGGCAAACUGAUACGAUCAGUAUUUAUGGGACUCCGGACUCGGAGACUUGGCACAAGGGGAAACUCAAAGUAUCAUUACUAUGGGCUUCGGAUUAAAGCAAACUCACCACUAAUUCGACUGAUCGAGGAUCAGCAACACUUGGCCAUAAGACAACAGCCAUUCACACAGAAGCAGAGUCCGUUUUCUCCAUGUUACAGACUCAAGCCAAUCCAGAAGGUGGAAGGGAUGACAAAUGGCAUGGGAGUUGGGCAACAGCAGGCUGGUGGCCUGUCAGAUAUCAGUGCUCAGGUGCAGCAAUAUCAGCAAUUCUUGGAUGCCUCUCGGGCUCUACCAGAAUUUGUUGAAAUUGACUUGCAGGGGAAGACAUUACCUGACGGUAUCGCCAUUGAACACGUCAAGGCGUUCCAGCACCUUUAUCGGGAGCACUGCGAGGCGAUCUUGGAUGUGAUGGUAAACUUACAGUUUACUUUGGUUGAAACCUUGUGGAAGACAUUUUGGCGAUUCAAUUCUUCCCAGUCCAGUGAUGGCUCAGGACUAUCAGUUGAUGAUGAAGCUGAGAAACGCCUCCCUAAGUCAUGCCUUGUUGUCCUCUGUAAGUAUGAGCCUUCCCUGAAGUGGACGAAAUACUGUGAUAACAUGCUUUACCAAGGUCUGGUGGAGAUCCUAAUCCCAGACGUCUUGCGGCCUAUCCCGAGUGCCUUGACUCAAGCAAUUCGGAAUUUUGCAAAAAGUUUGGAAAGCUGGUUAACCAAUGCUAUGAUGAAUGUCCCUGAAGAAAUGGUUCGUGUGAAGGUGGCAGCAGCAAGUGCCUUUGCACAGACUUUGAGGCGCUACACAUCGUUAAACCAUCUUGCUCAGGCAGCCCGUGCUGUCUUACAGAAUACUGCGCAGAUUAACCAGAUGCUGAGUGAUCUAAACCGAGUAGAUUUUGCAAAUGUUCAGGAGCAAGCCUCAUGGGUGUGUCGUUGUGAGGAUGGUAUAGUGCAAAGGCUGGAGCAGGACUUUAAGAUGACUUUGCAGCAGCAGAACUCCCUGGAGCAAUGGGCAACUUGGUUAGACAGCGUGGUGACCCAGGUCCUCAAACCAUAUCAUGGUUGCCCCAGUUUCCCCAAAGCAGCCAAACAAUUCCUUCUCAAGUGGUCUUUCUACAGUUCAAUGGUGAUUCGCGAUUUGACUUUAAGGAGUGCGGCAAGUUUUGGGUCUUUUCAUCUCAUUCGCCUUCUGUAUGAUGAAUACAUGUACUAUUUGAUAGAACACCGAGUGGCUCAGGCAAAGGGAGAAACACCCAUUGCUGUCAUGGGUGAGUUUGCUGAUCUUGGGCGGGCUUUAAACCCUCUGGACCCUGACAAAGAUGAAGAGGAGGAGGAAGAAGAAAGUGAUGAUGACAGCCAACAAGAGAUUCCAAUGGACAAUGAGACCAUGUUAGUGACGGACUCCUUGGAGCCACCAGCCAAACUGUCACGGACAGACUCGAGGGGGGUGUUUGUUCAAGCACCACCAACCAACUGAAUAUAUAACGUAGGAUGCAAAAGAGGAAAACUUUUGCUUGAAUUUAGUAUCAUUAACUCUCCCGGCACCUGAUAGCCAUUGCAUAGAAAGACAUUGUCUAUAGUUAUCACGAAUAUCAAACUUCUACCAAAAUUAUUUUAGUUCAACAUUUAUUUAUAAAUUGUAUUUAAGAAAUAAAGAAAAUCUUUCCACUAGGAGUAUAGUAUAUUAGUAAAUGACUGCUGUUACAUCAUUACUAACUUUAAAAACACUCAGCUCGCAGAUUAUAUGAGAGCUAAAGCACUACCAAGCUCAGUAUUGUGCUGCUUUUGAAUGUCACAGGAGCCCAAAAUUGCCCAAACACCACAAUUUAAUCUCAUUCAGCAGAUAUUUGCUCGUUUUUUGUUAAGAAAAUAAGUAACAUUGAAUAUUUCUUUGGUGCUGCUGUAAUAACACAAAAUGGAAAAUCACUCUGAUUUCAAAAGCAAAUACGGAUUGAGGUUCGCUCAAAACCUUGUAUUUAGGUACACUAAAAAGUGCUCACUUAUAGGAAGCAGAGUGCUUGGUGUUGGGCUUUCUAGUGUACCAUUAGUGAGAAUAAACUUUGAAACCUACUGGAUGGUUAGGCCAGCUUUUAUGGGUUUCCUCAAUUUAAAAAAAAAUUGCACAAGAAACAUAACCCAGCAAAAAUAAUCGACAGUUAACCAGCUGACAGGAAUAGAAGGUUGAAGAGAGGAUGCAGGAAUUAAAUUGCUGAGACAUAACUCACUGAUAAUGACAAACUUGCUCAUACUUUCACUCUGGUAGAGCAUUUCUCUUUUCAAUCAGUCUUGGAAGGGUUCUUCAGCUGUUUUGGUUGUCACUGACUUUUAAAGCGCUGUGUAUUAGACUUGUUAAAAGAAUGUGCAGCUUUCAUAUGGCCACCAGCUGGUUUGCAUAACAGAAAAACACUUUUUUUUAACUUUCACACAGGUAAAUCAUUUAUAAUUGUUAUGAUAUUUUCUUCUACCGUUCAUAGAAUUAAGGUUAUGUCAAGCAAAAUCUACAUCACCUUGCUGUUUUGUCCUUUGAAUCUGUGGCCCUUCAACUGCAGCCCUGUUUAUUGCUUCUCAACUUGAAGAACUGAGCACUUACAUAGAGUACAAUAAGCCAAGCAGAUGGGACAGGAUCAUAAUUACAACCUGUGUACUUCAUGGCCAUCAUCCACAUGUUGUCUUGACCCAGCAUCUGAUGUUCUUUCCUCCCUGAGGAAACCAGUGGAAUUAAUUGCAAUUUGUAAGCACAAUGUUCUUACACAACCAAAGUGUGUAAUUGGAACCAUGUCCAGCCUGGCAGUGUAAUGGAGCUGGAUGUAAAAUGAAAAUAUAUAUACAGCAGGAUUUCUGAUUUACUUCCAGCUAAACUAUGGUAGUGGAAUGGGAUACAUUUGAGGAGCCCAGGUUUUGAUUUAUAAAAGAUGUUGACUCCUAUAUAUUUUAUUGCAAUUAUAAACCAAUAAAUUCAAGCAUCCUCCAUUUUGAGGCAAGUUUUAGUAUCUUGCGGAAACGUAUUUAUAUAUCCGAGAUUAUUCUGCAUCACACAGAUCCAAAUUAUGAAUAUAUAUUUGAGAAAUGGGCAUUGCUGCAUUAGGCUUUCUGUUUAAUUUAGCUAUUAUUUACCAUUUUUACGAAGCUAUCCUUUGUACACGAGAGGAUCCUUACCUCUGUUGUGAAGGGUGUAUUCGCUCAACUUCUUUCUGCACUGCAGAACUUAGCUGAUGCCUCAUAGUUCUGGUACAUUAGAGAACGUCUAAAGAAUACAGCCUCAAACUAAGAUAAGUGCCUCUGUCAAACCACCCGAAGAUAGGUUUGCAGAAAGAUAAUGCACAGUGGUUACCACUCUCUCUUCACCAAUAAUAUGACAUUGAAUUCAGUUUCCUUCACACAAUUCUAGUCAACAUGAUGAGCCUGAUGGCAGAACAGUCUGUUGCCUUUUGUUAACACUUAAUAUUAACUUAAUCAUUUGUAGGGUUUUUGUUUUUCUCCUUUUUCAAAUAAAGAGUGUGUGAUGUGACUUAUGUAUUUUGCAGUUAAUUGAGGCACUUGUAAUAUAUUUGUUGUACCAGUUUGUAACUCCAAAUUACAUAUAGUUUUGAAAAACUAAACAAUCUGUGCUUUUGUACGUAAUUAUAAUAUUUAUUACACGUUGCAUUAAUAUUGGGUGAGUUGUGAAAAGAAAAUGAUUAUUUGAUAUAUUUGUUUCUGAACCAUUAUGGCCUUAUUUGUUGGAACCUUAGUCUUGAGAUACAUCUGUGAAAUAGUUGGAUGCCGUUCUGUAUCGGAAAAGUAAAUAUUGUAUUUUGUAUAAACAAGAAAUGCUUAGUUUUGUUGUAAACUGGGUACUUUGGUUAGCUUUUGCUGAGCUACGGAUCUCGAGAGAACUAAGCAGUGUUUGAGACUGCGCUGUUUAGUGUUGUCAUUCAGCUUGGGGUGAUAUGUAAGCAUUUGUAUGAGUGUUUCGUUUUGGUGCAAAAGCUGUUUUCUACUUUUUGUAGUGUUUCUUUUAAAUAAAAGAGCAGAUAUAACAAAAA
Amblyraja radiata (thorny skate) is the source of this 5315-nucleotide RNA transcript. It is a transcript of the gene named regulatory factor X, 1a (influences HLA class II expression), with no coding region annotated. Lineage: Eukaryota; Metazoa; Chordata; Chondrichthyes; Rajiformes; Rajidae. The transcript is spliced from 20 exons. The record is from RefSeq and is a predicted model, not a curated record.